CUGGCGGCGUGCCUAACACAUGCAAGUCGAGCGAGGAGAUCCUUCGGGAUGAUCCUAGCGGCGGACGGGUGAGUAACACGUGGGCAACCUGCCUCAUAGAGAGGAAUAGCCUUCCGAAAGGGAGAUUAAUACCUCAUAACAUUGCAGUUUCGCAUGGAACAGCAAUUAAAGGAGUAAUCCGCUAUGAGAUGGGCCCCGCGGCGCAUUAGCUAGUUGGUGAGGUAACGGCUCACCAAGGCGACGAUGCGUAGCCGACCUGAGAGGGUGAUCGGCCACAUUGGGACUGAGACACGGCCCAGACUCCUACGGGAGGCAGCAGUGGGGAAUAUUGCACAAUGGGGGAAACCCUGAUGCAAGCAACGCCGCGUGAGUGAUGACGGCCUUCGGGUUGUAAAGCUCUGUCUUCAGGGACGAUAAUGACGGUACCUGAGGAGGAAGCCACGGCUAACUACGUGCCAGCCGCAGC
This 466-nucleotide ribosomal RNA is filed under the name uncultured bacterium. RNAcentral's name for it is "bacterial SSU rRNA". It matches the Rfam family "Bacterial small subunit ribosomal RNA", at positions 36 to 518 of the family's 1533-position model. The record is from RNAcentral.